CGGCGAGCGAAACCGGAUUAGCCCUUAAGCUUUUUAUGCGUCAGGUGAAGUGUCUGGAAAGGCACGCGAUACAGGGUGAUAGCCCCGUAACCGGCAGCGCAUAUUCAGUGAAAUCGAGUAAGGCGGGACACGUGAUAUCCUGUCUGAACAUGGGGGGACCAUCCUCCAAGGCUAAAUACUCCUGACUGACCGAUAGUGAACCAGUACCGUGAGGGAAAGGCGAAAAGAACCCCUGUGAGGGGAGUGAAAUAGAACCUGAAACCGUGUACGUACAAGCAGUAGGAGCAGGCUUUGUCCUGUGACUGCGUACCUUUUGUAUAAUGGGUCAGCGACUUAUAUUCAGUGGCAAGGUUAACCGUUUAGGGGAGCCGUAGGGAAACCGAGUCUUAACUGGGCGCUCAGUCUCUGGAUAUAGACCCGAAACCAGGUGAUCUAGCCAUGGGCAGGUUGAAGAUUGAGUAACAUCAAUUGGAGGACCGAACCGACUAAUGUUGAAAAAUUAGCGGAUGACUUGUGGCUAGGGGUGAAAGGCCAAUCAAACCUGGAGAUAGCUGGUUCUCCCCGAAAGCUAUUUAGGUAGCGCCUCGGACGAAUACUACUGGGGGUAGAGCACUGUUAAGGCUAGGGGGUCAUCCCGACUUACCAACCCUUUGCAAACUCCGAAUACCAGUAAGUACUAUCCGGGAGACACACGGCGGGUGCUAACGUCCGUCGUGGAGAGGGAAACAACCCAGACCGCCAGCUAAGGUCCCAAAUUAUAGCUAAGUGGGAAACGAUGUGGGAAGGCUUAGACAGCUAGGAUGUUGGCUUAGAAGCAGCCAUCAUUUAAAGAAAGCGUAAUAGCUCACUAGUCGAGUCGGCCUGCGCGGAAGAUGUAACGGGGCUAAGCUAUAAACCGAAGCUGCGGCAAUACAGUUUACUGUAUUGGGUAGGGGAGCGUUCUGUAAGCCGUUGAAGGUGAGUUGUAAAGCUUGCUGGAGGUAUCAGAAGUGCGAAUGCUGACAUGAGUAACGAUAAUGGGGGUGAAAAACCUCCACGCCGGAAGACCAAGGGUUCCUGUCCAACGUUAAUCGGGGCAGGGUAAGUCGACCCCUAAGGCGAGGCUGAAAAGCGUAGUCGAUGGGAAACGGGUUAAUAUUCCCGUACUGCUUAUAAUUGCGAUGGGGGGACGGAGAAGGCUAGGUGGGCCUGGCGAUGGUUGUCCAGGUUCAAGUGCGUAGGCUAAGGAAUUAGGUAAAUCCGGUUCCUUGUUAGGCCGAGACACGACGUCGAGUCACUACGGUGAUGAAGUCAUUGAUGCCAUGCUUCCAGGAAAAGCCUCUAAGCUUCAGAUUAUAAGCAAUCGUACCCCAAACCGACACAGGUGGUCGGGUAGAGAAUACCAAGGCGCUUGAGAGAACUCGGGUGAAGGAACUAGGCAAAAUGGUACCGUAACUUCGGGAGAAGGUACGCUCUUGACGGUGAAGUCCCUUGCGGAUGGAGCUAUUAGGAGUCGCAGAUACCAGGUGGCUGCAACUGUUUAUUAAAAACACAGCACUGUGCAAAAUCGUAAGAUGACGUAUACGGUGUGACGCCUGCCCGGUGCCGGAAGGUUAAUUGAUGGGGUUAGACUUAGGUCGACGCUCUUGAUCGAAGCCCCGGUAAACGGCGGCCGUAACUAUAACGGUCCUAAGGUAGCGAAAUUCCUUGUCGGGUAAGUUCCGACCUGCACGAA
Molecule: ribosomal RNA, 1714 nt
Filed under: Vibrio sp. HB161653
Lineage: Bacteria; Pseudomonadati; Pseudomonadota; Gammaproteobacteria; Vibrionales; Vibrionaceae
Description: partial 23S ribosomal RNA
Rfam family: Bacterial large subunit ribosomal RNA
Source: RNAcentral